GACGAACGCUGGUGGCGUGCUUAACACAUGCAAGUCGAACGAUGAAGUUCCUUCGGGAAUGGAUUAGUGGCGAACGGGUGAGGAACACGUGAGAAACCUGCCUUUCAUUUUGGGAUAACUCCGGGAAACCGGGGCUAAAACCGAAUACUCCGUCUCGGCUGCAUCGCAUAGCCGGGAAACAAUUUGGAUGAAAGAUGGUCUCGCGGCCUAUCAGCUAGUUGGUGAGGUAAUGGCUCACCAAGGCAACGACGGGUAGCCGGCCUGAGAGGGCGACCGGCCACACUGGGACUGAGACACGGCCCAGACUCCUACGGGAGGCAGCAGUGGGGAAUAUUGGGCAAUGGGCGCAAGCCUGACCCAGCGACGCCGCGUGAGGGAUGAAGGCCUUCGGGUUGUAAACCUCUUUCAGUAGGGAAGAAGCGAAAGUGACGGUACCUAAAGAAGAAGCACCGGCUAACUAUGUGCCAGCCGCCGCCGUAA
RNAcentral lists this ribosomal RNA (480 nucleotides) under uncultured bacterium. Its description in RNAcentral is "partial 16S ribosomal RNA". It matches the Rfam family "Bacterial small subunit ribosomal RNA", at positions 28 to 523 of the family's 1533-position model. The record is from RNAcentral.